GGAUAGUUCAGUCUAUAGAACAGGAUACACUUAAUCUCAGGGUUGUGGGUUCAAACCCCACGUUAGGCA
Molecule: non-coding RNA, 69 nt
Organism: Podarcis lilfordi (Lilford's wall lizard)
Lineage: Eukaryota; Metazoa; Chordata; Lepidosauria; Squamata; Lacertidae
Source: the annotation of a GenBank genome assembly